RNAcentral lists this ribosomal RNA (274 nucleotides) under uncultured bacterium. RNAcentral's name for it is "partial 16S ribosomal RNA". It matches the Rfam family "Bacterial small subunit ribosomal RNA", at positions 523 to 796 of the family's 1533-position model. The record is from RNAcentral.
AUACGGAGGGGGCUAGCGUUGUUCGGAAUUACUGGGCGUAAAGCGCGCGUAGGCGGAUUGAUCAGUCAGGGGUGAAAUCCCGAGGCUUAACCUCGGAACUGCCUUUGAUACUGUCAAUCUAGAGUUCGAGAGAGGUGAGUGGAAUUCCUAGUGUAGAGGUGAAAUUCGUAGAUAUUAGGAAGAACACCAGUGGCGAAGGCGGCUCACUGGCUCGAUACUGACGCUGAGGUGCGAAAGCGUGGGGAGCAAACAGGAUUAGAAACCCUAGUAGUCC